AAAUGACAUAAGUGUGUAAAUGCCUAAGUCCCUGUAAGUACUGUACCUUAGUAAAUAUUCAGGUAGCACCAGGCUGUGGUUUAGGAUCUGGGGUUCAAUCUUCACUCAGUCUGUGUGGAGUUUGCCUGUUCUCCCCAUGUUCACAAUGUAAGUCACUUUGGAGAAAAGUGAGACAAAUGAGUAAAUAUUCACAAUCAUAUUUUCAAUAGGCAUUUUAGCCAGAAGGCCGCACCUGCGACUGGAAUCCAAGCGGACUUGGUGUGGACUCCACAAACACAGUGCCACUGAAGGUGGGAGGUUCGCGUCCCUUCUCCUGUGCCUCUGUAUAGACAUCUACGUCUUCAUAGGUCUUCCACAGCAGUUAUUCCUGACUAGUAUGAGUACCAGGGGGCCCCUGUUACUCUGAAACCCUCUUGUUCUUUUCACUCAUGAUAUUUUUGCAGUAAAUGUCCUCCACCCAGUCGCUGCCAUGUGGGUCGACAGUGUCGGACCAGCGUUUCCGUUCAGACAGCUGUCUGCGUCCCAUCACUUCUCCAUGGGCUCCGGCCACCAUUUCGCGCCCUCGGUUUCGCCGCCAAAAAGCCCGGGAGAAGCGCGAGAGCGUAGCCGGUCACGUGUGUCGGCGCACGCGGAAAUCCCUGGGCGCCAACGGGCCCUCAAGCUUUCUCAACAAUCUCCGUGGACUGCAUCCCAUCCAGGGUAUACUACCCCCAGCCUAGAGCUUGGUGAUUCUGGGAUAGGCUAUGGACCACUGCAACACCGAGAAGGACAACAGGUUAACGGAAAUGAGUGAGUGGCCCCUCCUGCCACCGUCUGUGCCAUCAUCUGCUGUCCGGUUGGGCUAUGACUCAGCACCCACCCCCUUCUCCUCAACCCCCGCAUCUCCCCUGGGAGAACAGGUGGAUUUCUGCUCAUUUGUAAAGGAGCCCCAAGUCCCCCGAACCGAAGCAUAACCCCCUAUUAUAGCAUUGCAGGAACAGUACCAGCUCAGCGCCAGAUGCUUUGCCACAGUCUUUCAGCUGACAUUGUUGCCUUCAAAGUUUUGCCCAUCGUGAAGAUUAUAGUCAUUUUGCCGCUCAGGAUUUGUGUGCAUUUUUAUUGGUGCCUCACUUCCAUGACGGCAGUGAAAAUAGCUACACCCAAAAUGUCACACAGGU
Molecule: long non-coding RNA, 1157 nt
Filed under: Scleropages formosus (Asian bonytongue)
Lineage: Eukaryota; Metazoa; Chordata; Actinopteri; Osteoglossiformes; Osteoglossidae
Description: lncRNA (ENSSFOG00015029472.1)
Source: RNAcentral